UCGCCCUCGGACUUGGACUCUGGGG
This 25-nucleotide non-coding RNA is filed under the name Cricetulus griseus (Chinese hamster). The record is from RNAcentral. Lineage: Eukaryota; Metazoa; Chordata; Mammalia; Rodentia; Cricetidae.